UACGUAGGGUGCAAGCGUUGUCCGGAAUUAUUGGGCGUAAAGAGCUCGUAGGCGGUUUGUCGCGUCUGCUGUGAAAACUCGGGGCUUAACCCCGGGCCUGCAGUGGGUACGGGCAGACUAGAGUGCGGUAGGGGAGACUGGAAUUCCUGGUGUAGCGGUGAAAUGCGCAGAUAUCAGGAGGAACACCGGUGGCGAAGGCGGGUCUCUGGGCCGUAACUGACGCUGAGGAGCGAAAGCGUGGGGAGCGAAUGGG
Molecule: ribosomal RNA, 253 nt
Filed under: uncultured bacterium
Lineage: Bacteria
Description: partial 16S ribosomal RNA
Rfam family: Bacterial small subunit ribosomal RNA
Source: RNAcentral